This 71-nucleotide transfer RNA is filed under the name Ixodes scapularis (black-legged tick). It matches the Rfam family "tRNA". From Rfam's summary of the family: Transfer RNA (tRNA) molecules are approximately 80 nucleotides in length. Lineage: Eukaryota; Metazoa; Arthropoda; Arachnida; Ixodida; Ixodidae. The record is from Rfam by way of RNAcentral.
UCCUGGUUAGCUCAGUUGGUAGAGCGCUCCACUGGUAAUGGACAGGUCCCUUUCGAUACCAGGACCAGGCG